RNAcentral lists this unclassified non-coding RNA (302 nucleotides) under Mycoplasma sp. RNAcentral describes it as "16S-23S ribosomal RNA intergenic spacer". Lineage: Bacteria; Bacillati; Mycoplasmatota; Mollicutes; Mycoplasmatales; Mycoplasmataceae. The record is from RNAcentral.
CUACGGAGUACAAUAAAGCUUAUUUAUAGACUAUUUAACCUAACUUACUAGACCUGUACAAAUAUUUAUGUCAUGUGACUUUUUAUGGUCGAAGUCUUAUAUCUAGUUUUGAGAGGACAUAUCUUCUCAAUGUUCUUUGAAAACUGAAUAGUAAAAUAUUUUUCGAUAUUUACAACGACAUCAAACAAAUAAAUUAAUUUGGUUAAUUUGUUUUGAUUCAUCGAGUAAUCAUACAAUAUAUAUGAUUCAUUGAAAUGUCUUAAAAUACACAUCUAAACAUAACAAACAAUAGGAAAAUACUA